Molecule: long non-coding RNA, 678 nt
Organism: Mesocricetus auratus (golden hamster)
Lineage: Eukaryota; Metazoa; Chordata; Mammalia; Rodentia; Cricetidae
Exons: 3
Source: RefSeq, a predicted model, not a curated record
GUGUCUCUGAGGCUGGGGAGCACAGACACUUGCCUGAGAUCACUUUAGGAGCUACAGUUGCAGCUGGGGUCAGCCCAGACCCUCCUGUUUAUUCUUUCCACUCUGCCAGAGGAACUAGGUGUGUUGGGAUUGGCAUUGGCAACAGCUCGCCAUGGAGAUGCCAGGCCUCCUGAUGGCAACAGAUCACAGUUGAUCUUGGGUGGUGGAGGCAGCUCGGGGCUUUCCCAGAGGUGACUGAGGAGGAGGCAGAGCUUCAGGCUCCCUCUUCUCUGGUGAUUCUAACUUGUGUCGAGUUGACAUAAAACUAGCCAGGACAGUGCAAGAAACUACCAGAGCCAAGAAGAACCUAAGAAGAUAUGAGAACCAAAUGAGCAAAUGUGAUUCUGAAAGUGAAAAGGAACAUUAGGGGAAACCAAGGAAAUCUAAAUAAACUGUGAAUAUUGGGACCCUGUUUUUAAAAAGGGCUUGGGGCGGUGGUGCUGGGUAUGAAGAGAGACUCUUAAGGCCAGACUUGAUAUCUAAUCUUCCUGAGGAACUCUGUGAAGCUGCCUGAGCUGUGGCUUGAGAUGUGAGCUCUCCGUUGCUGCUCCAGAUACCUGCCACCUGCUGGCUCGGUUCUGCAUCGUGGACUCUGAUUCUCUGAAACUAUGAACUCCAAAUAAACGUUUUCAAAUAUAA